GGCCUUUUGAAUUUAAUUUAAGGUCUGACCUGCCCAGUGAUGAAUUUAACGGCCGCGGUAUAUUGACCGUGCAAAGGUAGCAUAAUCAUUAGUCUUUUAAUAGGGGGCUGGAAUGAACGGUUUAACGAGGGACUAACUGUCUCAUUUUAUUUGUUUUAAAACUUAAUUUUUUAGUUAAAAAGCUAAAAUUUUAUUGGAAGACGAGAAGACCCUAUAGAUCUUUAUAUAAUCUCUUAUAUUUAUUUAUGAGCAUAGAUAUAAUAUGAUUAUAUUUUGUUGGGGUGACAAAAAUACAUAAUUAACUUUUUUAUUUACUUACCAUUGAUAUAUGAGUAUUAGAUCCGCUAUUAGUGAUUGUUAGAAUAAGUUACCUUAGGGAUAACAGCGUAAUCCUCCUCCAGAGUUCAUAUUUACAGGAGGGCUUGCGACCUCGAUGUUGGAUUAAGAUAAUAAUUAGGUGUAGCCGCUUAAUUUAUAGGUCUGUUCGACCUUUAAAUUCUU
RNAcentral lists this ribosomal RNA (501 nucleotides) under Sympetrum sp. 2018 RF-0002. RNAcentral describes it as "partial 16S ribosomal RNA". It matches the Rfam family "Bacterial large subunit ribosomal RNA", at positions 1819 to 2597 of the family's 2925-position model. Lineage: Eukaryota; Metazoa; Arthropoda; Insecta; Odonata; Libellulidae. The record is from RNAcentral.